AUUCUAUGUAUUACAAUGUGAAAUCUCAAAUAGUAAUCAAUUUUCUAUUGAAAUAAAAUUUCAAACAAAAUAUGAAGAAAAAUUUUGGUAAAAUGAGUAAAACAUGAGAUGCCCCUUGCAUGGAAAACGUGAGUUUGCCAUGAUUCACAGAUGCCAAGUUUCUCUAGCAGCAGCACACAAUUGUUGUCUCUUCACAGUUUAGAAAACUUGACCAGCAGCCUUCUGCUGUGGACCAGCCGGCAUCCAUGGAAAUCGCCACUGAUAACACCUUAAAUUCUUGUUUUGCUGCAAAUUUUAAAGGCCAAAAUACUAGACCCAUAAUCAUGCUACA
Molecule: unclassified non-coding RNA, 331 nt
Filed under: Hevea brasiliensis (rubber tree)
Lineage: Eukaryota; Viridiplantae; Streptophyta; Magnoliopsida; Malpighiales; Euphorbiaceae
Source: RNAcentral